RNAcentral lists this ribosomal RNA (253 nucleotides) under uncultured bacterium. RNAcentral describes it as "partial 16S ribosomal RNA". It matches the Rfam family "Bacterial small subunit ribosomal RNA", at positions 524 to 776 of the family's 1533-position model. The record is from RNAcentral.
GACGGAGGAUGCAAGUGUUAUCCGGAAUCACUGGGCGUAAAGCGUCUGUAGGUGGUUUAAAAAGUCCACUGUUAAAGAUUGAAGCUUAACUUCAAAAAUGCCGUGGAAACUUUUAAACUUGAGUAUGAUAGGGGUAGAGGGAAUUUCCAGUGGAGCGGUGAAAUGCGUAGAUAUUGGGAAGAACACCGGUGGCGAAGGCGGCUCACUGGCUCAUUACUGACGCUCAGGCGCGAUAGCGUGGGGAUCAAACAGG